UCAAGAUGAAGGCCAUGCGCCGCUUCCUGGAAGAAGGCGACAAGGUGAAGGUCACCAUGCGCUUCCGUGGCCGUGAAAUGGCCCACCAGGAUAUCGGCAUGAAUGUGCUGGUAAAGGUUCGCGACACGCUGGAAGACCUGGGCAAGGUCGAACAGAUGCCGAAGCUGGAAGGCAAGCAGAUGAUCAUGGUUCUGGCCCCGCGCUAAGAAACCGCUGAUCCGGCUUGCUGGUGCGACGUAAUGAACAGGCCGUCCGGGCAACCGGGCGGC
This 269-nucleotide unclassified non-coding RNA is filed under the name Azospirillum sp. RU37A. Its description in RNAcentral is "Long range pseudoknot". The record is from RNAcentral. Lineage: Bacteria; Pseudomonadati; Pseudomonadota; Alphaproteobacteria; Rhodospirillales; Azospirillaceae. RNAcentral also lists the same sequence under 1 other name.